AACGAACGCUGGCGGCAGGCUUAACACAUGCCAGUCGAGCGCCCCGCAAGGGGAGCGGCAGACGGGUGAGUAACGCGUGGGAACGUACCUUUUGGUUCGGAACAACUCCGGGAAACUGGAGCUAAUACCGGAUAAGCCCUAACGGGGAAAGAUUUAUCGCCGAAAGAUCGGCCCGCGUCUGAUUAGCUAGUUGGUGAGGUAACGGCUCACCAAGGCGACGAUCAGUAGCUGGUCUGAGAGGAUGAUCAGCCACACUGGGACUGAGACACGGCCCAGACUCCUACGGGAGGCAGCAGUGGGGAAUAUUGGACAAUGGGCGCAAGCCUGAUCCAGCCAUGCCGCGUGAGUGAUGAAGGCCUUAGGGUUGUAAAGCUCUUUUGUCCGGGAAGAUAAUGACUGUACCGGAAGAAUAAGCCCCGGCUAACUUCGUA
This 431-nucleotide ribosomal RNA is filed under the name uncultured bacterium. RNAcentral describes it as "partial 16S ribosomal RNA". It matches the Rfam family "Bacterial small subunit ribosomal RNA", at positions 29 to 507 of the family's 1533-position model. The record is from RNAcentral.